ACAUUUUUUAUAACCUAAAACUGUAUUUAACACGCUACUCGAGAGAAUUAAUACAGCACCACUUUCUAACACAACACAUCUAAUAUUCAUUUAAAUAUCUGCGAAAAGCCAAUCCUAAAAUUCACAUUUUUCGCAGGUUCGGGUUGCUGGUCCAGGGGGUCCUGGGUCCGACUGGCAUCGUUUGCAGUCGGGGCGAGGAGUGACCGAGGUUCUCAGCGUCUCUGCCGGCUUCGGACCUCGCCCCUGCUGCCCAAACACCGCCCCGACCUCUCAGUUCGGCUUUGGCUCGUUUUUUGGGGGGAUUUUUGCGGGAUUUGGUGGCUAAAUUUGCAUGGCUCCUGAGGUCUGCUCCCUGUCCGGGGGGUGUCAUCCCCUUGGCAGCAGGCGAGGGUGGCACUGAAAGAAGAAUUCUCCACAACAGAGGGUUAAUUUGGAUACUCAACAGGUGAUUGCAACAUUUAACCAACAAAAGAACUCUUGGCCAGCGAUCAGUUCCCAGCUUAGUUUAAACUCUGCAACCCUUUUUUUAAAAAAUGGAUAACUCUUUUUUUUACUCAUAACAUCCGCCGGCUUCGGACCUCGCCCCUGCUGCCCAAACACCGCCCCGACCUCUCAGUUCUGCUUUGGCUCGUUUUUUGGGGGAAUUUUGCGGGAUUUGGUGGCUAAAUUUGCAUGGCUCCUGAGGUCUCCUCCUGUAAUAAAUUGAAGCAGACUCCAAUUAGCUCAGUCCAAUUGGAAUUUAUUAAUUACAGCAAGCAAGGUUGUCCUAGGGUGACUGUUAUCGCCAUUCGUGUGUGUAAUUUAUGCUGGAUAUAAUGUUCUGUGCCUUUAAGACUGGCAGAAUGAGAGGUUUUUUUUGGCCUCUUAUCAGCCACUCAGCGAGACAUACAGAUAGCACCACGACUUAGUGCUGCUUUUUUGCUCUUUGCCCUGCUUUUUGCUUUUGCGCUUGCUUCUGCUUCGCUUCUGCUUUGGUUGCUCUUGCUUUUUUCCCCCUCUUCUCAUUAGCUGAUUUGGCCAAACAGUCCAAAUUCCUUUCUGGACUACUUCCCCUGUGUGGACCUGCCGAACCUGCUCUGGACUGGGAUUGGAACCACCGAUUUGGAAACACCGAGCAGCUGCCCCAGCGCCGGAGGGACAGAUAACAGCAACCACUCCCCAGGAGAGACUUUCUGAAUUUGUCAUCUUUUUCAGAGCAGUGGAAGAGUGGUGUCAUCCGGUUCGGGUUGCUGGUCCAGGGGGUCCUGGGUCCGACUGGCAUCGUUUGCAGUCGGGGCGAGGAGUGACCGAGGUUCUCAGCGUCUCUGCCGGCUUCGGACCUCUGCCCUGCUGCCCAAACACCGCCCCGACCUCUCAGUUCGGCUUUGGCUCGUUUUUUGGGGGGAUUUUCCAGGAUUUGCUGGCUAAAUUUGCAUGGCUCCUGAGGUCUGCUCCCUGUCCGGGGGGUGUCAUCCCCUUGGCAGCAGGCGAGGGUGGCACUGAAAGAAGAAUUCUCCACAACAGAGGGUUAAUUUGGAUACUCAACAGGUGAUUGCAGCAUUUAACCAACAAAAGAACUCUUGGCCAGCGAUCAGUUCCCAGCUUAGUUUAAACUCUGCAACCCUUUUUUUAAAAAAUGGGUAACUCUUUUUUUUACUCAUAACAUCCGCCGGCUUCGGACCUCUCCCCUGCUGCCCAAACACCGCCCCGACCUCUCAGUUCUGCUUUGGCUCGUUUUUUGGGGGAAUUUUGCGGGAUUUGGUGGCUAAAUUUGCAUGGCUCCUGAGGUCUCCUCCUGUAAUAAAUUGAAGCAGACUCCAAUUA
This is a long non-coding RNA of Haemorhous mexicanus (house finch), 1803 nucleotides long. RefSeq lists it as uncharacterized. The transcript is spliced from 2 exons. NCBI's taxonomy places the organism in Eukaryota, Metazoa, Chordata, Aves, Passeriformes, Fringillidae. The record is from RefSeq and is a predicted model, not a curated record.